UUCCAUUAAGACUCUGAGAGU
RNAcentral lists this non-coding RNA (21 nucleotides) under Arabidopsis thaliana (thale cress). Lineage: Eukaryota; Viridiplantae; Streptophyta; Magnoliopsida; Brassicales; Brassicaceae. The record is from RNAcentral.